RNAcentral lists this ribosomal RNA (504 nucleotides) under uncultured bacterium. RNAcentral describes it as "partial 16S ribosomal RNA". It matches the Rfam family "Bacterial small subunit ribosomal RNA", at positions 29 to 523 of the family's 1533-position model. The record is from RNAcentral.
AUUGAACGCUGGCGGCAGGCCUAACACAUGCAAGUCGAACGGUAGCACAGAGAGCUUGCUCUCGGGUGACGAGUGGCGGACGGGUGAGUAACGUCUGGGAAACUGCCCGAUGGAGGGGGAUAACUACUGGAAACGGUAGCUAAUACCGCAUAACGUCGCAAGACCAAAGUGGGGGACCUUCGGGCCUCACACCAUCGGAUGUGCCCAGAUGGGAUUAGCUAGUAGGUGGGGUAAUGGCUCACCUAGGCGACGAUCCCUAGCUGGUCUGAGAGGAUGACCAGCCACACUGGAACGGGGACACGGUCCAGACUCCUACGGGAGGCAGCAGUGGGGAAUAUUGCACAAUGGGCGCAAGCCUGAUGCAGCCAUGCCGCGUGUAUGAAGAAGGCCUUCGGGUUGUAAAGUACCUUCAGCGGGGAGGAAGGCGGUGAAGUUAAUAGCUUCACCGAUUGACGUUACCCGCAGAAGAAGCACCGGCUAACUCCGUGCCAGCCGCCGCCGUAA